GUACUGUUGAGGAGUCCCAAAACAGGACGAAACAACUGUCUAGUAU
Molecule: non-coding RNA, 46 nt
Filed under: Trichobilharzia regenti
Lineage: Eukaryota; Metazoa; Platyhelminthes; Trematoda; Strigeidida; Schistosomatidae
Source: RNAcentral